This 383-nucleotide ribosomal RNA is filed under the name uncultured bacterium. RNAcentral's name for it is "bacterial SSU rRNA". It matches the Rfam family "Bacterial small subunit ribosomal RNA", at positions 8 to 394 of the family's 1533-position model. The record is from RNAcentral.
AGAGUUUGAUCCUGGCUCAGGACGAACGCUGGCGGCGUGCUUAACACAUGCAAGUCGAACGGUGAAGUCCCUUCGGGGGCGGAUCAGUGGCGAACGGGUGAGUAACACGUGGGCAAUCUGCCCCUCACUGUGGGAUAACUCCGGGAAACCGGGGCUAAUACCGCAUAUGAAGCCUGGCGGCAUCGCCGGGUUUGGAAAGUUUUUCGGUGAGGGAUGAGCCCGCGGCCUAUCAGCUUGUUGGUGAGGUAAUGGCCCACCAAGGCGACGACGGGUAGCCGGCCUGAGAGGGCGACCGGCCACACUGGGACUGAGACACGGCCCAGACUCCUACGGGAGGCAGCAGUGGGGAAUAUUGGGCAAUGGGCGAAAGCCUGACCCAGCGA